UCAUUAAUUGGUUACCAGUGGACAAACUACAAUUUGUUAAAUUGGUUACCAGUGGACAAACUACAAUUUGUUAAAUUGGUUACCAGUGGACAAACUACUAUACUUUAGAGACGCGGUUCUGACAUACAAAUGUAUAAAUAACCUUGCUCCUGAUUACCUGUGCAAUAAGUUUAGAAAAAGGUCAUCAAUACAUAAACGUCAGACUUGCACACAGGACUCUCUGCAAAUCCUGGUAAAAUCCUCAUCAUCGUAACCUGACGAAUUGCAGUAUAUCUAUACAUCAGAUGGAACAAACCUUCUGGAAACUGAUAACCAAACUUUGUACAUACGACUAACUUGCAGCAAAAGACGAC
Molecule: non-coding RNA, 353 nt
Organism: Paramuricea clavata
Lineage: Eukaryota; Metazoa; Cnidaria; Anthozoa; Malacalcyonacea; Plexauridae
Source: the annotation of a GenBank genome assembly